RNA transcript from Jatropha curcas, 1543 nucleotides. It is a transcript of the gene named RNI-like superfamily protein, with no coding region annotated. The record is from RefSeq and is a predicted model, not a curated record. Lineage: Eukaryota; Viridiplantae; Streptophyta; Magnoliopsida; Malpighiales; Euphorbiaceae.
AAUAAAAAACAAAAAAACCACAGCUUGGCCAAACCCAUUGCCGUCUUUCAGUUUCUGUCCGACUCUGUCUAGAAUGGAAGCCAAGGAAGCAGAAGACGAGUUAACAUGGAGCAGAGAAACAAUCCCAAGAGUAAUGAAGAUAGUCAGCGCAAGACUUCCUCAAAAAGACCUUAUCUCACUUCUACUUGUCAGCCCUUGGCUCCACCGCACUCUCAUCUCCUACCCUUCUCUCUGGCUCGUUCUUGAUUUUCGUGAGAUGAGCAAGGCGGGAGAUAGGCUUAUAGCAGCUCUUUCACUGUCAAGAUACCAGCAUGUGAAGCAGAUUAGCCUUGAAUUUGCACAAGAUAUUGAAGACAGACAUCUUCAAGUCCUUCAAAGCAAGUUUAUCAAUUCUCUUCAAAACCUGGAGUCUUUAAACCUGAAUGGCUGCCAGAAAAUUUCUGACAAGGGAAUAGAAGCUGUAACUGGUGCUUGUCCAAAUCUCAAAGUCUUUUCUAUUUAUUGGAAUGUGAGAGUGACAGAUGUCAGUAUAAAGCAUUUGGUAGAGAACUGCAAACAUGUAGUUGAUUUGAACUUGAGUGGUUGUAAGAAUAUAACAGACAAAAGUUUGCAAUUAGUUGGAGACAAUUAUCAAGACUUAGAGUUGUUGAACCUGACUAGGUGCAUCAAGCUAACAGAUGGUGGCUUGCAACAAAUAUUGUCCAAGUGCUCCUCUCUCCAGAGUUUAAAUCUUUAUGCCCUUUCAAACUUCACUGACAAAGCUUACAAGAACAUAUCAAAUCUACCUGACUUAAGAUUCUUAGAUUUAUGUGGUGCCCAGAAUCUAUCUGAUGACGGACUUUCUUGUAUAGCUAAAUGCAAGAAUCUUGUCUCCCUCAAUUUGACCUGGUGUGUUCGAGUCACUGAUGUGGGGGUUUUAGCUAUUGCCGAAGGUUGCACCCGUCUCGAGUUUCUCAGUUUGUUUGGAAUAGUUGGUGUGACUGACAAGUGCCUGGAAGCUCUUUCAAAGUUCUGCUCAAACACAAUUACAACCCUUGAUGUGAAUGGAUGCAUUGGCAUAAAGAGACGGAGCCGUGAUGAAUUGCUUCAGCUAUUUCCUUAUCUGAAGUGCUUCAAAGUACACAGCUGAUAUCAGGAAAUUUUCAUACUUACAUCUUCACAUAAAGGUGUUUUACCUUGUAAGCCAUAUUAUUUCCUGCAUGCAAUUUUCAAACCACAAUGAUUAAGAAUUAGACUCUAUGCACAAAGGGAUGAUAAAUUUUCAAUCAUGACAGAAUCAUAUAAACAAACAGCAGACACUCGAAAUGACGAUUUGGAAUUUGGAAUACAUUCAUACCACAUGGGAUUUGAAUUCUUUCAUCCAUUACAUGUGAGUUCAUUAAACUGUUUAGCAUGUGUACGAAAUGCAGGCCAAAUACAAUUUGUCUUUGUUUUAUCCAUCGCUGUCUGAUGAGAUUCUCCUAAAAAUAUAUGUAUCGAUCAAAUGUUUUACUGACAAAUUAUUUUAUUCAUCAAACAAUAAUCAGUAUACAAACUGUUCUAU